AAAGUAGGCAAAGCGAUCGCGCCCGACGGGUGAGGAAAGUCCGAGCUCCAGAAGGCAGAACGCCUCUGAAACAGAGGGCGGAGUGAUCCGACGGAAAGUGCCACAGAAAAGAGACUUCCCUGUAAAGCUUCGGCUUUCGGGGUAAAGGUGAAACGGUGGUGUAAGAGACCACCAGAGGCUAUGGUAACAUAGCCUGCUGGCAAACCCCGUUUGGAGCAAGGCCAUGUAGGCGGGAAGGUGUAGCCUGCACCGUUUGACCCGCGGGUAGGCCGCGUGAGGGAAAAGGCGACUUUUCUCCCAGAUGGAUGAUCGCAUUUCCGCAGAGCUAUUUGGCCGAGUUUAUUCAGCUGAAAGCUGAAUGAAUUCGGCAAAAGCGGAAAUACAGAACUCGGCUUAUUGCCUGCUUUGGCC
This 411-nucleotide RNase P RNA is filed under the name Candidatus Zixiibacteriota bacterium. RNAcentral's name for it is "RNase P RNA component class A". It matches the Rfam family "Bacterial RNase P class A". From Rfam's summary of the family: Ribonuclease P (RNase P) is a ubiquitous endoribonuclease, found in archaea, bacteria and eukarya as well as chloroplasts and mitochondria. The record is from RNAcentral. Lineage: Bacteria; Pseudomonadati; Candidatus Zixiibacteriota.